This 327-nucleotide RNase P RNA is filed under the name Aquabacterium sp. RNAcentral's name for it is "RNase P RNA component class A". It matches the Rfam family "Bacterial RNase P class A". Rfam says of the family: Ribonuclease P (RNase P) is a ubiquitous endoribonuclease, found in archaea, bacteria and eukarya as well as chloroplasts and mitochondria. Its best characterised activity is the generation of mature 5'-ends of tRNAs by cleaving the 5'-leader elements of precursor-tRNAs. The record is from RNAcentral. Lineage: Bacteria; Pseudomonadati; Pseudomonadota; Betaproteobacteria; Burkholderiales; Sphaerotilaceae.
GAAGUCAGCCAGACCGCCGCUGGUGCAAUCGCCGAAAGGCCGCACUGGAGGAAGGUCCGGACUGCACAGGGUAGCGUAGGAGGUAACACCUCUCCACCGUAAGGUGAGGAUCAGAGCAACAGAGACGAGCCGGUUAAGUCCGGGUGAAACGGGCAAUCUCUACGCGCAGCAACACCAAAUAGGCACACGUUGACCUGUCCCGGGGAGUGUGCGGGUAGGUGGCAUCGAGCCGUUCUGGCGACAGGCGGCCCAGAGGAAUGGCGGUCACAGCUCAGCGUCGCGAGACACGGGGCUGCACAGAAUCCGGCCUAUCGGCUGACUUCACAC